This 549-nucleotide ribosomal RNA is filed under the name uncultured Glomus. RNAcentral describes it as "SSU rRNA". It matches the Rfam family "Eukaryotic small subunit ribosomal RNA", at positions 548 to 1098 of the family's 1831-position model. Lineage: Eukaryota; Fungi; Glomeromycota; Glomeromycetes; Glomerales; Glomeraceae. The record is from RNAcentral.
UUGGAGGGCAAGUCUGGUGCCAGCAGCCGCGGUAGUUCCAGCUCCAAUAGCGUAUAUUAAAGUUGUUGCAGUUAAAAAGCUCGUAGUUGAAUUUCGGGAUCGAUGGGUCGGUCAUGCCCUCGGUAUGUACUGAUCCCAUUGGUUCUCACCUUCUAAGGAACCAUGAUGUCAUUCGGUUGAUGUUGUGGGGAAUUAGGACUGUUACCUUGAAAAAAUUAGAGUGUUUAAAGCAGGCCAACGCUUGAAUACAUUAGCAUGGAAUAAUGAAAUAGGACAUCCGAUUCUAUUUUGUUGGUUUCUAGGAUCGAUGUAAUGAUUAAUAGGGAUAGUUGGGGGCAUUAGUAUUCAAUCGUCAGAGGUGAAAUUCUUGGAUUUAUUGAAGACUAACUACUGCGAAAGCAUUUGCCAAGGAUGUUUUCAUUAAUCAAGAACGAAAGUUAGGGGAUCGAAGACGAUCAGAUACCGUCGUAGUCUUAACCAUAAACUAUGCCGACUAGGGAUCGGAUGAUGCUUAUUUUUUAAUGACUCAUUCGGCGCCUUACGGGAAAC